GUGCAGGGUUGUUUUUGCAAAAAUAUUUUAAAAAUUGCAUCACUACUCAACCAGAACUGCUCACGUAAUGAGGACGAAAAGAGAUUAGUUGGAAAGCACAUUACGACAUGUGAUUUAGAAACUAUUUAACACUUUUAGCAUUUGAAAAGCUAGGUUUAAAUGAGUGCUGUAUGCCAACCUACUACACUCGAGAGGAUGUGUUCGUUCACUAGAUGAUGUCACCUUUUAAGUUAGGCUUCCUUCUACAAGAUCAAUGGAACCCUCCCCC
Pelobates cultripes (western spadefoot toad) is the source of this 268-nucleotide non-coding RNA. NCBI's taxonomy places the organism in Eukaryota, Metazoa, Chordata, Amphibia, Anura, Pelobatidae. The record is from the annotation of a GenBank genome assembly.